UUGCCUCCAUAGUUAAUUAUAAAACAUAAAGUGAAAACAAACAUUGUCCACUGCUAACAUUUUUAUUCAGACCUAAAUGUGAUAUAAAGAGAGAUGUCCUCAAUUUUCUGUUUUUAAAAUAGUUGAGAAAGAGUUUACUUCUGAGGUAUUGUGGGAGAGGUCAAGUAUAGGGAAUUUAGGAGAAAGGAUUGCUUUACUGACGAGCAGUUGGAGACCUGAAUUCUAGUGCAGGUCCUAGUAGUGUUACAGAAUCCUAGAAUCUCAGAUUUUGAAGAACCAUUAGGGACCAUUUGGCAUUUGGUUGGAUGUUUCUUGUGAUGGAGAACUAACUGCUACCUAACAGCAUUAUCAUCAAGGACAACAAUAAUAACAAGAAUAGCUGACAUGUAUAUAACAUUUAAUAGCUAUUCUUCUAAGCACUUUACCCAUUCAUUUUAUUCUCAUUCAUUUUAUUCUCUCAGAACCCAGAGAAGUUCUGAGGCCCUGAGCUGUUAAGUAAUUUGGCCCAAGGCCCUUCAGUAGCUAAGUCGCAGUCAGAAUCUGUAUUCUUAACCAUUAUGCCUCAUAAGGAACCCAUUCUGUGCCUAGCUAUAUUUAUAAAAAAAUCAUUUUUUAUAGAGAAUCGAAAUAUAUUUCUAACUCAGUUUUCUGCUUACACUUAUUUGUACCUUUGUCUGUCCUUUAAAAUCUUACAACAAAGGUUUGUACAUCAAAGAAGUUUGUACAUCAAAUGUAGACCUUUAAGUAUUUGAAUAUAACUAUCUCUUUUGUUCCAUGAGAGUGCUAGUUUUCUAUCUAUCAGGAUAAACAUUCUCACUUCUCUGGGACUGUUGACAGCUUAGUUCUUUGCAGUUAUACUUUGUUUUUCUAUUAAAUACAGGAGUUGACCCAGAACUAAAAGGCUUUUGUUUGUUAGUUUUUACAGUUUUUUAUCCUGUGAUUCCAUGUAGGGGCAAAUAAAUACAUUACUUUUACCCAGCAUUGUGUUUAGAAAUGGAAGGGAGGGAGAGGGAGACAGAUCACAAUUGAAUUAGUGAGGUAAAUCUUUACUUAAGAAUACAUCAGAUUCUAAGAAGACCAAAUUCAAUUUAUCUGCUACCUUUGAGUGAACAAAGAAAUGUGUUUAUUGCUUAUAUAUGCUUUCCAUUGAUGUAGAAGAAUAUUUAUUUUUAGAAAUUUUGGACUAACCUUACCUCUUCAGAGCUCUUAAGACUAUUUAUUGUGUGGAUCCCAAUUCAAACAGAUCAAGCUCAAAUGCUUCCCCAAGCUCAGCAGACAUUAUUUCAUAUAUUGCACCCCAACAUACCGUGUUUAACUCUUCUGUCUUUUGUUUUUGCUGCUAUUUAUAUUUUCAUUUGAUAUGUUUUAUAAUGUUUGUCCCUAGAGUUGUCCUUUAUUGAAUACAAGGGUCUUUUCUCAAUUGCUAUAAUGUCUGUUAUAAUCCAGAUGUAGAUAUUUGAACAAUGUGAAUACACAUCUUUAUGUGUAUUAUCUUAAGUGCUGUUUAAUAUUAAAGUGUAUUUAAAAUGACCAGAUUUCAAAUUAGUGCAGUUUUGAGAUAUUUGUUACUUAGGUCUUACCAGGUAUGCACCUGUGUUGUAAUUUAUGUUGGUAUGCUUUAGAUCUGGUGUUUCCUUGGUUUUUUGCUGCCGUAUCUCAAGUGGCUAGAUUUGAUAUUUCCUUAUCCCUGAUCUGACAUUUUUAUGUGACCAAGUUUCUGUAGCAUUUUGUUGAACACCAGGUACUGUUGCCACUGUGCCUAACCCUACCAUCUCCACUCCAUGCUAUCUCUUACUUUACAUGUAAAUGACAGUUAUUUUAGUCACUUUUCACAAUGUGAAAUGUUUCUAGGACACUUGUCCAUGAACAGGAGCAAAUUGAAAUUUGAAAUGAUCACAUCUGAUUGACUUGUAAUUAGAGGAUGUUUGGGUGUGGUUGAAUGUAUUGUAUCUGUACUUAUUGAAAAACCUGAAAGACCUGGACUCACUAUGUUUUGUUCUGCAACCUGGUUAGUCAGCUACGUGGAAGUGACCAGAGAGUUGAAAGCCAAUUUAUUUAUCCCUCCAAGAUGAAUAAAACAUAAAUUACUCUUCUAGCAAAAA
RNAcentral lists this long non-coding RNA (2102 nucleotides) under Homo sapiens (human). RNAcentral's name for it is "HSALNT0382102". The record is from RNAcentral. Lineage: Eukaryota; Metazoa; Chordata; Mammalia; Primates; Hominidae.